RNAcentral lists this ribosomal RNA (460 nucleotides) under uncultured bacterium. RNAcentral's name for it is "partial 16S ribosomal RNA". It matches the Rfam family "Bacterial small subunit ribosomal RNA", at positions 338 to 795 of the family's 1533-position model. The record is from RNAcentral.
CCUACGGGGGGCAGCAGUGAGGAAUAUUGGUCAAUGGACGAGAGUCUGAACCAGCCAAGUAGCUUGAAGGAUGACUGCCCUAUGGGUUGUAAACUUCUUUUAUAUGGGAAUAAAACGUUCCACGUGUGGGAUUUUGUAUGUACCAUAUGAAUAAGGAUCGGCUAACUCCGUGCCAGCAGCCGCGGUAAUACGGAGGAUCCGAGCGUUAUCCGGAUUUAUUGGGUUUAAAGGGAGCGUAGGUGGAUUGUUAAGUCAGUUGUGAAAGUUUGCGGCUCAACCGUAAAAUUGCAGUUGAAACUGGCAGUCGUGAGUACAGUAGAGGUGGGCGGAAUUCGUGGUGUAGCGGUGAAAUGCUUAGAUAUCACGAAGAACUCCGAUUGCGAAGGCAGCUCACUGGACUGCAACUGACACUGAGGCUCGAAAGUGUGGGUAUCAAACAGGAUUAGAUACCCUAGUAGUC